Molecule: ribosomal RNA, 230 nt
Filed under: uncultured bacterium
Lineage: Bacteria
Description: partial 16S ribosomal RNA
Rfam family: Bacterial small subunit ribosomal RNA
Source: RNAcentral
CGGGGUGAGUAAUGUCUGGGAAACUGCCUGAUGGAGGGGGAUAACUGCUGGAAACGGUAGCUAAUACCGCAUAACGUCGCAAGACCAAAGAGGGGGGCCGUUCGGGCCUCUUGCCAUCGGAUGUGCCCAGAUGGGAUUAGCUAGUAGGUGGGGUAACGGCUCACCUAGGCGACGAUCCCUAGCUGGUCUGAGAGGAUGACCAGCCACACUGGAACUGAGACACGGUCCAG